UCCGGUUUGACACCGGCAGUCUCCCUAGAGUGCCCGGCUUUACCCGCUGGUAACUAGGGACAAGGGUUGCGCUCGUUGCGGGACUUAACCCAACAUCUCACGGCACGAGCUGACGACAGCCAUGCAGCACCUGUGUUCCCGCCAGCCGAACUGAAGAGCUCCAUCUCUAGUGCUCAUACGGGACAUGUCAAAGGCUGGUAAGGUUCUGCGCGUUGCUUCGAAUUGAACCACAUGCUCCACCGCUUGUGCGGGCCCCCGUCAAUUCCUUUGAGUUUUAGCCUUGCGGCCGUACUCCCCAGGCGGAGUGCUUAACGCGUUAGCUACGGCACCGCAGGGGUCAAUACCCGCAGCACCUAGCACUCAUCGUUUACGGCGUGGACUAC
RNAcentral lists this unclassified non-coding RNA (383 nucleotides) under uncultured bacterium. RNAcentral's name for it is "contains 16S-23S intergenic spacer region". The record is from RNAcentral.